Molecule: long non-coding RNA, 1215 nt
Organism: Diabrotica virgifera virgifera (western corn rootworm)
Lineage: Eukaryota; Metazoa; Arthropoda; Insecta; Coleoptera; Chrysomelidae
Exons: 2
Source: RefSeq, a predicted model, not a curated record
AGAAUCACCACAUCCCACAUUACACUACUAUGACUUUGUUCAGUUUGUUGAUUUUACCUGCUUCUAAAUAUUUACAUUCAAUGAAUAAUCACCAAGUUUUGAGUAAUUUCAAGAAAUAUAGGAAAAAUCUGUAUUUUUAAAGGUGACACUCUUUAGAAUAUGGCAGUAAAGAAGGUGAGGAUCUGAGCCAAAGUAGAAAGAUGUGAAGAACAGAAAAGACAAAAGAACUGUAUAUCUAGGAAAUACUACCAUAGACUAUCAGACAUUAUUGGAUACCAAUUUUUAAAUAUGUUUCCAAAUAGGCUGACACCAACAAUUCAGUUUAUUGUAUGUAAUUUUUUAAAUUAUGGAUAGGUAUCUACUCCAAGAGGAGGUCAUAGACGCCAGGAGGUAAAUCCAGAUUUGGAACAAAGCGACACUUUGAUUUGUGCAAGUAUUGAGCAAAUUCCCACCCAGUCAACAUCUCAUCUUAGAGAACAGUAUGGAUUUCUAAAGAUUUUUGAAAAGACAUGGAUACUGUUCCUAUAAGCUACAUAAAUCCUACGAACAAUUCCCUGUGGAUCAAUAUCACUGUUUACAAUUCUGUCAAAAUACAAUGGAAAUGUCACAUCGAGAUGAAUAUUUUUUGGAGAAUGUUUUGUUCACUGAUGAAUGUUCAUUUUCAUUGCAUUCAAUAAACGCUCGAUAUUGGUCUCGAGACAGUUAAUGAUGGGGAUGAAAACUGGUCCCCCAGUUAAUGAUGGAGAUGAAAACUGGUUCAUUUUUCUUUUUAUAAAGAAAAAUAAAUCCUAAGAUUUUCAUCACUCUGUUUACCAAAACCUACCCAUACCAACCUCUACUUUCAUGUCAGCCUCCAUUAUCCCCCUUCCCAAAUUAUUUUGGCCAAGAAUACCCUUAUUUCCAAAUCAAAACGUCUUUGAGAGGAUUCAAGUAGAUCCGUUGAGCUCUUUUCUUUAAAACAAGCCCUUAUCCAAAAGGGUCCCGUGAAAAUCAUAUUAAUAGGAGAAUAUAUAAAACUUUUCUUCCUAACAUCAAAGUUGUUACUGACAAAAUUCACAAAUUAAGAGAUUGAUUUUGGAAAACUUGAAAUAAUGAAAAUAGAAUAAAAUAAUUUCACUAAUAUUUGUAUAAAUUAUUGAUUACCAUGCUAUUGCAGAUUUUAUUGUUACAUUGUGACUGACAUUUUAUAAUUUUAAUAAAGACCUAUUUUUCACA